RNAcentral lists this small RNA (111 nucleotides) under bovine gut metagenome. RNAcentral describes it as "Ribosomal protein L10 leader". It matches the Rfam family "Ribosomal protein L10 leader". Rfam says of the family: This family is a putative r-protein leader autoregulatory structure found in B. subtilis and other low-GC Gram-positive bacteria. It is located in the 5' untranslated regions of mRNAs encoding ribosomal proteins L10 and L12 (rplJ-rplL). The record is from RNAcentral.
UAUAUAUUUUUAAUUGCCAAAGACAGUAGGUGGCAGUGACCUUAAUUUCCUACCGAGGUAUAGAUUAAAAAGAUAUCCCUUUUGUCUAUGCCGGCAAAAGGGUUUUAUUUU